This 484-nucleotide ribosomal RNA is filed under the name uncultured bacterium. RNAcentral's name for it is "partial 16S ribosomal RNA". It matches the Rfam family "Bacterial small subunit ribosomal RNA", at positions 30 to 507 of the family's 1533-position model. The record is from RNAcentral.
AUUGAACGCUGGCGGCAUGCCUAACACAUGCAAGUCGAGCGGAUGAAGGGAGCUUGCUCCUGGAUUCAGCGGCGGACGGGUGAGUAAUUCCUAGGAAUCUGCCUUGGAGUGGGGGAUAACGUCCGGAAACGGGCGCUAAUACCACAUACGUCCUGAGGGAGAAAGUGGGGGAUCUUCGGACCUCACGCUAUCAGAUGAUCCUAGGUCGGAUUAGCUAGUUGGUGGGGUAAAGGCCUACCAAGGCGACGAUCCGUAACUGGUCUGAGAGGAUGAUCAGUCACACUGGAACUGAGACACGGUCCAGACUCCUACGGGAGGCAGCAGUGGGGAAUAUUGGACAAUGGGCGAAAGCCUGAUCCAGCAAUGCCGCGUGUGUGAAGAAGGUCUUCGGAUUGUAAAGCACUUUAAGUUGGGAGGAAGAGCAGUAAGUUAAUACCUGGCUGUUUUGACGUUACCAAAAGAAUAAGCACCGGCUAACUUCGUG